This is a long non-coding RNA of Astatotilapia calliptera (eastern happy), 1017 nucleotides long. Lineage: Eukaryota; Metazoa; Chordata; Actinopteri; Cichliformes; Cichlidae. The record is from Ensembl.
GCAGGUUGUUUGUUGAUGUUGGGAGCUUGGGUAAAUAGCUAAAGGCACUGUAACUCAUGCAGCAAUGCGAUCUCACUUGGAUGUCUGUCUGUUUCCUAGAAGGAUCUAUGUGAAAUGCAGAUUAUGUUUACAUGCUUCAUGUAGUUCUGGUCAGUAGGGGGUAGACAGUCACAGAGGGGAGCGGUGCUUUCCCAAGCAAGGUCUGACCCCCUUUCAACUCCUCACUGGGCUCCACUGAGCCCUUUGGGCAGCUCAGUUUGCUGCAGAGUCAGGCAAGCAAUGGGCUUAUGUGCAAGCCUCGCCGUGGCAGAUUUUAGACCCAUCUGUGGGGAAAAGAUAUGUCUGGUUUAUCACCCCUCAUUUAUAGUGCAUAUUCUAUUUGUAAAUUCCACAAACUACAUUUUCUCCUGUUACCGUCCCUCUUUCUUCUCCUGUUCUCUCUCUUUUGCCCCCGCACAUGCACACAAAACAGCAAAAAAAGAAAGAAAAAGAAAACAAAAAGACUGCUGCAGUGAGAAUCAAAUACAGCAGUAAACACUGGCAGUCACAGUGGGCAAUAAAAUGCCGACCACAGCCAGUACACAAACAAAGAGACUGCUCUUCUGUCAAGCAAUGGCUAUGGAGCAGCUGGAGGAAGAUCACAUGGUAUAAAAAAAAAAAACAACAAAACAAAACAAAAAAAAGCCAGGAGACAAUCAUGCUGUUACAACCUAUCACAAAACCAUAUUCUGUUCAACCUUCUCUCGCUCUCACACACAAAUUGCUCACCACUUCAGGAAGAAUGAGCAUAAAGUAGAGGAAAUAUAGGAAAUAUGUUCAUGAAAUGAAUGUGGCACAGCUUCAGCAGCAUGAUUGUGGCUGUUGCCACUGUAAUUGCAUGUGGUUUUCUAUAUUCUAAAUAUAAAAAUGAACAAAGUAUCUGCAACCAUCGUCCCAUUUCCUCCUCUGUUCCUACACUAUUAAACCUCAAACAUUCCAGCAUAGUUUUCAGGACAUCGGAAAGAAAGUCACGAGCAG